Molecule: ribosomal RNA, 910 nt
Filed under: uncultured bacterium
Lineage: Bacteria
Description: bacterial SSU rRNA
Rfam family: Bacterial small subunit ribosomal RNA
Source: RNAcentral
AGAGUUUGAUCAUGGCUCAGAUUGAACGCUGGCGGCAUGCUUUACACAUGCAAGUCGAGCGGCAGCGCGGGGCAACCUGGCGGCGAGCGGCGAACGGGUGAGUAAUGCAUCGGAACGUGUCCCGGAGUGGGGGAUAACGCCGCGAAAGCGGCGCUAAUACCGCAUAUGCUCUGAGGGGGAAAGUGGGGGACCUGCAAGGGCCUCAUGCUCUGGGAGCGGCCGAUGUCCGAUUAGCUUGUUGGUGAGGUAAUGGCUUACCAAGGCGACGAUCGGUAGCUGGUCUGAGAGGAUGAUCAGCCACACUGGGACUGAGACACGGCCCAGACUCCUACGGGAGGCAGCAGUGGGGAAUUUUGGACAAUGGGGGCAACCCUGAUCCAGCCAUGCCGCGUGCGGGAAGAAGGCCUUCGGGUUGUAAACCGCUUUUGGCCGGGAAGAAAAGGACGCGGUUAAUACCUGCGUUUUUUGACGGUACCGGCAGAAUCAGCACCGGCUAACUACGUGCCAGCAGCCGCGGUAAUACGUAGGGUGCGAGCGUUAAUCGGAAUUACUGGGCGUAAAGCGUGCGUAGGCGGUUCGUUGUGUCUGUGGUGAAAGCCCCGGGCUUAACCUGGGAAUGGCCAUGGAAACUGGCGAGCUGGAGUGUGGCAGAGGGGGGUGGAAUUCCGCGUGUAGCAGUGAAAUGCGUAGAGAUGCGGAGGAACACCGAUGGCGAAGGCAGCCCCCUGGGCUAACACUGACGCUGAGGCACGAAAGCGUGGGGGAGCAAACAGGAUUAGAUACCCUGGUAGUCCACGCCCUAAACGAUGUCAACUGGGUGUUCGGGAAGCGAUUCCUGGGUACCGUAGCUAACGCGUGAAGUUGACCGCCUGGGGAGUACGGCCGCAAGGUUAAAACUCAAAGGAAUUGA